RNAcentral lists this ribosomal RNA (253 nucleotides) under uncultured bacterium. Its description in RNAcentral is "partial 16S ribosomal RNA". It matches the Rfam family "Bacterial small subunit ribosomal RNA", at positions 80 to 334 of the family's 1533-position model. The record is from RNAcentral.
CUAGACUGAUGGCGACCGGCGCACGGGUGAGUAACACGUAUCCAACCUGCCCUUUACUCAGGGAUAGCCUUUCGAAAGAAAGAUUAAUACCCGAUAGCAUAAUGAUUCCGCAUGGUUUCAUUAUUAAAGGAUUCCGGUAAAGGAUGGGGAUGCGUUCCAUUAGGUUGUUGGUGGGGUAACGGCCCACCAAGCCUUCGAUGGAUAGGGGUUCUGAGAGGAAGGUCCCCCACAUUGGAACUGAGACACGGUCCAA